RNAcentral lists this ribosomal RNA (1542 nucleotides) under Jeotgalibacillus sp. S-D1. RNAcentral describes it as "partial 23S ribosomal RNA". It matches the Rfam family "Bacterial large subunit ribosomal RNA", at positions 1 to 1531 of the family's 2925-position model. The record is from RNAcentral. Lineage: Bacteria; Bacillati; Bacillota; Bacilli; Caryophanales; Caryophanaceae.
AUGGUUAAGUUAGAAAGGGCGCACGGUGGAUGCCUUGGCACUAGGAGCCGAUGAAGGACGGUACUAACACCGAUAUGCUUCGGGGAGCUGUAAGUAAGCUGUGAUCCGAAGAUUUCCGAAUGGGGGAACCCCGUAUCCGUAAUGGGAUAUGAUCUUUCACUGAAUACAUAGGUGAUUGAAGGCAGACCCAGGGAACUGAAACAUCUAAGUACCUGGAGGAAGAGAAAGCAAAUGCGAUUCCCUGAGUAGCGGCGAGCGAAACGGGAUCAGCCCAAACCAAGAGGCUUGCCUCUUGGGGUUGUAGGACACUCUAUACGGAGUUACAAAGGACAUAAUUAGACGAAGCGGUCUGGAAAGGCCCAUCAGAGAAGGUAACAAUCCUGUAGUCGAAAGUUAUGUCCCUCCAGAGUGGAUCCUGAGUACGGCGGAACACGUGAAAUUCCGUCGGAAUCCGGGAGGACCAUCUCCCAAGGCUAAAUACUCCCUAGUGACCGAUAGUGAACCAGUACCGUGAGGGAAAGGUGAAAAGCACCCCGGAAGGGGAGUGAAAUAGAUCCUGAAACCGUGUGCCUACAAGUAGUCAGAGCCCAUUUACGGGUGAUGGCGUGCCUUUUGUAGAAUGAACCGGCGAGUUACGAUUUGAUGCAAGGUUAAGCUGAUAAGGCGGAGCCGCAGCGAAAGCGAGUCUGAAUAGGGCGAUUUGAGUAUCAGGUUGUAGACCCGAAACCAGGUGAUCUACCCAUGUCCAGGGUGAAGGUGAGGUAACACUUACUGGAGGCCCGAACCCACGCACGUUGAAAAGUGCGGGGAUGAGGUGUGGGUAGCGGAGAAAUUCCAAUCGAACCUGGAGAUAGCUGGUUCUCUCCGAAAUAGCUUUAGGGCUAGCCUCAUGUAGUUAGAGUCUUGGAGGUAGAGCACUGUUUGGACUAGGGGCCCCCAACGGGUUACCGAAUUCAGACAAACUCCGAAUGCCAAAGACUUAUCCAUGGGAGUCAGACUGCGAGUGAUAAGAUCCGUAGUCGAAAGGGAAACAGCCCAGACCACCAGCUAAGGUCCCCAAGUAAUCGUUAAGUGGAAAAGGAUGUGGGGUUGCUUAGACAACCAGGAUGUUGGCUUAGAAGCAGCCACCAUUUAAAGAGUGCGUAAUAGCUCACUGGUCGAGUGACCCUGCGCCGAAAAUGUACCGGGGCUAAACGAUUCACCGAAGCUGUGGAUGAAAUCUCUCAGAGAUUUCGUGGUAGGAGAGCGUUCUAAGCGCUGUGAAGUCAGACCGGAAGGACUGGUGGAGCACUUAGAAGUGAGAAUGCCGGUAUGAGUAGCGAAAGAAGAGUGAGAAUCUCUUCCACCGAAUGCCCAAGGUUUCCUGAGGAAGGCUCGUCCGCUCAGGGUUAGUCGGGACCUAAGCCGAGGCCGAUAGGCGUAGGCGAUGGACAACAGGUUGAUAUUCCUGUACCACCAACGCAUCAUUUGAGUGAUGGGGGGACGCAGGAGGAUAGGAGAGCGCGCUGUUGGAUAUGCGCGUUUAAGCAGUUAGGCAGGAAA